UGAGGAAUAUUGGGCAAUGCCCGCAAGGGUGACCCAGCAACGCCGCGUGGAGGAUGAAUGUCGUAAGAUUGUAAACUCCUGUUAGAGGGGAAGAAUAGUACCGGUAGGACCGGUAUAUGACUGUACCCUCAGAGAAAGCCCCGGCUAACUACGUGCCAGCAGCCGCGGUAAUACGUAGGGGGCAAGCGUUGUCCGGAUUUACUGGGUGUAAAGGGCGCGCAGGCGGGAUAAAAAGUCAGUGGUGAAAUCCUACAGCUUAACUGUAGAACUGCCUUUGAUACUUUUAUUCUUGAGUUCGGGAGAGAGAGACGGAAUUCCAGGUGUAGUGGUGAAAUACGUAGAUAUCUGGAAGAACACCAGUUGCGAAGGCGGUCUCUUGGUCCGACACUGACGCUGAGGCGCGAAAGCGUGGGGAGCAAACA
RNAcentral lists this ribosomal RNA (422 nucleotides) under uncultured bacterium. RNAcentral describes it as "bacterial SSU rRNA". It matches the Rfam family "Bacterial small subunit ribosomal RNA", at positions 355 to 774 of the family's 1533-position model. The record is from RNAcentral.